AAGUCGUAACAAGGUCUCCGUAGGUGAACCUGCGGAGGGAUCAUCUGAGAGUUGUGGGGGAUUGUACUUGAAUUGGAGGUUUGGCCCGGCUGCUACUGCCAGUGUGUGGUAGUGGCCGUGGUGGCGUGCGGUGCGUGGGGAUCUCACGAUCAACGCGCCCGCAUUUUAUCACUCGUAUUGCUGGAUGCACUGGCGCAGGCACUCGCCUGCCGCCACACACCACCCAUACACACCACAUCAAAAGAUACAACUUUUGGCAAUGGAUCUCUUGGUUCUC
This 277-nucleotide unclassified non-coding RNA is filed under the name fungal sp. Its description in RNAcentral is "partial internal transcribed spacer region". The stretch from base 1 to 46 matches the Rfam family "Eukaryotic small subunit ribosomal RNA", at positions 1786 to 1831 of the family's 1831-position model. Lineage: Eukaryota; Fungi. The record is from RNAcentral.